CCCUUAGACGUUCUGGGCCGCACGCGCGCUACACUGACGAAGGCAACGAGCUUUCCUUUACCGAAAGGUACGGGUAAUCUUUUGAAACUUCGUCGCGCUGGGGAUAGAUCCUUGCAAUUUUUGAUCUUAAACGAGGAAUGCCUAGUAAGCGCAAGUCAUCAACUUGCGUUGAUUACGUCCCUGCCCUUUGUACACACCGCCCGUCGCUACUACCGAUUGAAUGGUUUAGUGAGGCCUUCGGAUCCGCGACUCGUUUGUGGAGAAGUUGGACAAACUCAGUCAUUUAGAGGAAGUAAAAGUCGUAACA
Molecule: ribosomal RNA, 307 nt
Filed under: uncultured eukaryote
Lineage: Eukaryota
Description: partial 18S ribosomal RNA
Rfam family: Eukaryotic small subunit ribosomal RNA
Source: RNAcentral